AUACGUAGGGGGCAAGCGUUAUCCGGAUUUACUGGGUGUAAAGGGAGCGUAGACGGCAUGGCAAGUCUGAAGUGAAAGCCCGAGGCUCCACCACGGGACUGCUUUGGAAACUGUUAAGCUAGAGUGCAGGAGAGGUAAGUGGAAUUCCUAGUGUAGAGGUGAAAUGAGUAGAUAUUAGGAGGAACACCGGUGGUGAAGGCGGCUUACUGGACUGUAACUGACGUUGAGGCUCGAAAGCGUGGGGAGCAAACAGGAUUAGAUACCCUGGUAGUCCACGCUGUAAACGAUGAUUACUAGGUGUUGGGGACCUAUAGGUCUUCGGUGCCGCAGCAAACGCAAUAAGUAAUCCACCUGGGGAGUACGUUCGCAAGAAUGAAACUCAAAGGAAUUGACGGGG
RNAcentral lists this ribosomal RNA (397 nucleotides) under uncultured bacterium. RNAcentral describes it as "partial 16S ribosomal RNA". It matches the Rfam family "Bacterial small subunit ribosomal RNA", at positions 523 to 918 of the family's 1533-position model. The record is from RNAcentral.